This is a long non-coding RNA of Lutra lutra (Eurasian river otter), 819 nucleotides long. RefSeq lists it as uncharacterized. The record is from RefSeq and is a predicted model, not a curated record. NCBI's taxonomy places the organism in Eukaryota, Metazoa, Chordata, Mammalia, Carnivora, Mustelidae. The transcript is spliced from 3 exons.
UCAUGCAUGCCUGCAUAGCAAGAUCUUCUGUCUCUUCCUCUUUUUAGAAGAGUAUUAAUUUCAUCACAAGGGCCCCACCCUUGUGACCUAGUCCAAUCCUGAUUACCUCCCAAGGUCAUACCUCCAAAUACAAUCACACUGGAGAUUAGAGUUUCAACAUGUGGACUUUGUGGGUCACAAACAUGUAAUUCAUAACACAGAGCCAUAACGGAACCCAGCAAAUGUAGCACAGACCUGCAUAGCUCAAAGAGCAAGCUGGUAGGCAGACAGUAGAUCAAAUAUGUAUGCAUACCACCAGGCAGCAAAGCCAGUAAGCAAACCAAAGCAAAAGAACAAAGACCCCUGGUGGUGAUAGACAUCUUACUCAUGGUGCCAAUGCUUGUGUCUACCCAUAAGGAGCCAUACAGACCCCAACCCAAAAAUAGGGUUCCAAUGUCAAGACUGAUGAUGUCAUAUCCACAUGAAGAGUAGGUGAAAAUGUUUAUUACUUACCAAAUGAAGCUUUCUGGGGACAGCAAGUCAGAGUUCUCAAGGAGAUCCAAAAAUGGCUUCAGAAGGCCUUCAGACUCAAACUAGGAUUUAUUUAUACCAUUGACUGCCCUGAUUUUCAGACCUUAGAGUGUGGGCUAAAACUACACCACCAGUUUCCUGGGUCUCUGGAUUAAGGAUGGCAGAUUGUGAAACCUCCAUAAUCAUACUGAAAUACUCUUCUUUUCUGACAUGUCAUUUUUUUUGCCCUGAUUCAGGAAGCCAACUUUUUCCCUCUUCACAAAUACACAUACUCUGUUAUCUCAGCUUUUGAAAUCCAGCUUAUGCAUC